AGUGAACGCUGGCGGCGUGCCUAAUACAUGCAAGUCGAACGGAGUGGCGAACGGGUGGGUAAUGUAUAGCUAAUCUGCCCUACACUAGAGGACAACAGUUGGAAAAGACUGCUAAUACUCUAUAGUGUAGGAUGAGGCUAUAUUGUAUCAGCUAGUUGGUGAGGUAAUGACUCACCAAGGGUAUGACGAAUAACUGGUCUGAGAGGAUGAUCAGUAGAACGGGAACUGAGACACGGUCCAGACACCUACGGUAGGCGGCAGUAGGGAAGAUUGCUCAAUGGGGGAAACCGUGAAGCAGCAACGGCGCGUGGAGGAUUACAAUUUUCGGAGAGUAAACUCCUUUUGUUACGGAAGCGGUACCUACCGAAUAAGCACCGGCUAACUCCGUGCCAGCAGCCGCGGUAAUAC
RNAcentral lists this ribosomal RNA (408 nucleotides) under uncultured bacterium. RNAcentral's name for it is "partial 16S ribosomal RNA". It matches the Rfam family "Bacterial small subunit ribosomal RNA", at positions 29 to 526 of the family's 1533-position model. The record is from RNAcentral.